UGGAUACCCAAGUGAGCUUGCUUGCUUAUCCGCCACUCGAUGAUGGAGGCUCGCCAGUCUUAGGCUAUUUGAUCG
This 75-nucleotide non-coding RNA is filed under the name Pteridomonas danica. Lineage: Eukaryota; Dictyochophyceae; Pedinellales. The record is from RNAcentral.